This 194-nucleotide unclassified non-coding RNA is filed under the name Clitopilus baronii. Its description in RNAcentral is "partial internal transcribed spacer 2". The record is from RNAcentral. Lineage: Eukaryota; Fungi; Basidiomycota; Agaricomycetes; Agaricales; Entolomataceae.
AAUUCUCAACUAUACACGUUUUUAUAACCUGCAUAGCUUGGAUCUUGGGUUUUGCGGGCUUUCACAAGUCGGCUAUCCUUAAAUGUAUUAGCAGAGCUUUUGCCGCUAAUCAUUGGUGUGAUAAUUAUCUACGCCAUUGAGAGGUGACAUACUGAGGCUUAGCUUCUAAUCGUCUUCACAGACAACUUUUGACA